AGUGAACGCUGGCGGCAGGCCUAAUACAUGCAAGUCGAACGGCAGCACAGUGGAGCUUGCUCCAUGGGUGGCGAGUGGCGGACGGGUGAGGAAUACAUGGGAAUCUGCCCAGUCGUGGGGGAUAACGUAGGGAAACUUACGCUAAUACCGCAUGCGCCCUUCGGGGGAAAGCCGGGGACCUUCGGGCCUGGCGCGAUUGGAUGAGCCCAUGUUCGAUUAGCUAGUUGGCGGGGUAAAGGCCCACCAAGGCGACGAUCGAUAGCUGGUCUGAGAGGAUGAUCAGCCACCCUGGGACUGAGACACGGCCCAGACUCCUACGGGAGGUAGCAGUAGGGAAUAUUGGACAAUGGGCGCAAGCCUGAUCCAGCCAUGCCGCGUGAGUGAAGAAGGCCCUCGGGUUGUAAAGCUCUUUUGUCCGGGAAGAAAAGCAUCGGGCUAAUACCUCGGUGUUCUGACGGUACCGGAAGAAUAAGCACCGGCUAACUUCGUG
This 490-nucleotide ribosomal RNA is filed under the name uncultured bacterium. Its description in RNAcentral is "partial 16S ribosomal RNA". It matches the Rfam family "Bacterial small subunit ribosomal RNA", at positions 29 to 507 of the family's 1533-position model. The record is from RNAcentral.